CCCCCAACCCCCCAAACUCUAACCCUAAAUUUCGAUCCCCAUUCCCCAAUUCAAUUUCUAGUAUAAGUUGGGUGAUUGAUGGAUGACGAAAAAUCAAACGUUUGAGGAGUAAAUCUCUUUUAAAUUUCCAAUGUAGCUUGUCUUAAUUUACGUGUAAUGUUAUGGAGGCAACUACGAGGACUCUCCUUUAAUUUUAGUAGAGCCUCCCCGAUUACCAUAUUAAGCAAAAGUUAGUAUCCUAUUUUCAUCUCCAUUUGCAUAGCUUGGUGCACAUGCAUCCUCACAAGAACCGCGUCAACAAAAAACGGAGCGGGCUAGUAAAGCAAAGUAAUAAUACAAUCUGAAAUAAAGUUAUAGUUUUAUGAUCGAACAUCCAAAUCAAAAUCUCAUUGCACCAUAAUAUUUGUUUUAAUAAGAACUUCAAAACAGGAUCACAAUCGGGUAUAUUUUGAUCAAAAUAGUGUACUUUUUUAAAAACAAAUGUUACUUCCUCUAUCAUAUAAAUUAGUCAAAAGUUACUUCCUAUCAUGUACAUUAUUGAUAGGUUACUUCCUUUCAUGAACUACAAAGUUUAGUUUCCAGUUCAUAAGUUACGUUUUAUGGACCGUGAAGUGGAAUGCAAUGUUACUUUUUCUUAACUUUCACGGUGUAACAACUUUCAUAGAGCACAAAAGUUACUUUCUUAAUACAGGCACGGACCAGAAAGGUACUUUUUUUUUCCCUAACAAUGUUACUUUUCAAAAUUUUCACGGAGUAUAUAGAUACUUUCUUAAUAUAGGCACUGGCCACAAAGUACUGUCUUAAUUAUUGAUGAGCAUAGAGUAGCAUGUGCUCGUGUGUGUUGUGCUCUGCAGAAAUAAAACACUUGACGCAUAUGCAUGCACGUGUGAGACUGAGAUGGUCAGUGGGUGCAUGAAAACUAGAGUGCUAAGGUAAGCAAAUCAACUCUCUUUUUUUAGAAAUAAAAUGUGAUCGGACUUUCCAUUUUAGGAAAAUUUGAGUGCUCUUCCUUUAAGACUAAAUAGAGAGGGCUCUUCAUUUAGAUUUUAUUUCUUUCGUAUUCGACUUCAUAAUACGAAAGGAAGUUUCAUCUUUGGAAAAUGGUUGGUUUGAUGCUUUACGCGGCUCCACUGGCGGCGAACAUUUUGCUUUUGACAUGAAGAACAUGCAAGUCACUGGCGGCCUUCUCGUAGUAGCGGCUUUCUCCAGUCAUGGCGCCGUAUUCAUUUAGUAUUGUCGAUUUGGUCUUUCUAUGGCGCGGGGGAUGCGUGGAGCAAGCAAUUGGUAUUUUUGUGCUGAUUGGUUGCUGAGGCAAUAUGUCGAACAUGUGGUGUGCGAUGCUGCUUGGGAGGAGCAAGUGUUUAUCCUGAUUCUGGGUAAACUAGGUUCAUUUCAACUGUGACUGAAAGGAGAUGGUGGUAAAGUUGCUGUUACUCUGGCGUGCUGGGUGUAUAAGCAUAAAGGAACUAGGAGGCACUGUAAAGUCUGAACAACCGAACCUCUUACCAACUUCAGUACGUCAGUAGUACAUUCAUCAGCAAAGAAGCCAAGGAUCGCGAUGGCACUGCGGCAAGCACUGGGAUGGUCGGAAGGGGAGGUGAUGCGGCCAGAGUCAAAGCCCUGCUCCCGGUUGAUGCGGCAGACUGCUGGCAUAUUCUCCGUUGGUGGCGGUCUGGCUUUCUGGGUGCUCUGCCGCCUUCACUAUGGUCCAAGAAUAACAGUUCCAAGGAGUCUCAGGUGGGCGUCAUGCGGAGCAGUCUCUGUGAGCGCGACAACAGCCCUGCUUGUGCGGCUCUUCAGCCCAGAGUGUGAACCUCAGAACAUAGCCGCAUUUGACAUACCUGAAUUGAAGCCUGAAUAGGUUAUCUGAAGUUCAGAGUUAGUGUACUAAAACCUAUCAUGUUUUUUAUCCGUGCAUCCUGGACAGUUUCUGGAAGAUACUUCUGCAUCAUGUAGCCUGCCGUAAAGAUCUAUGCCGUCGCUUGAAUUUGCCUUACUGGCUAUCAUGUAUGGUAGAUUUGUCUCCGAAUUAUGAGCGGGUUCCUAUGCUUUCGAAUGGAAUAUUAUGUCGCUGAAAUUCAGAAACAAUCAAAGUUGCAAUCCGUUGUGAGAUAUGCAGGUCCUUCACGUCAAAACAUCUAGAUGCCCUUUUAAGAAACAUCUAGAUGCCCAGAGAAGUUUCCAACAAACUGCGAUCUAUAGACAAAAACGGCAUUCCAAUUUUCAUGACACGACAAAACAUUUAGAUGCCCUUUUAAGAGUUGAUGAGGGCUCAUGAAAUGAUGUUGCAUCUCGUCUUACGAAUACAUGCCAUCGCGAUCCUUGGCUUCUUUGCUGAUGAAUGUACUACUGAUGUACUGAAGUUGGUAAGAGGUUCGGUUGUUCAGACUUUACAGUGCCUCCUGGUUCCUGAAAUGAGAACACUUAGUGAUGAAUAUGCUACUGAUGUGCUGAAGUUGAUACGAGAGGUUCAGUUGUUCAGACUUUACAGUGCCUCCUGGUCAUCACUACCUAAUGAUCAUAUUUGCUACUGAUGGCAUUAACUUCUAUGACCCGAAAUUGGGCACCCCGGCUGUGUCUUGUGAUAAUAUUGUUGAUAUCCUGGAAUGUUUUAAGGAAAAAUGGACUGGUGGAGUUGACAGUUUGUCUAAUCCAAACGGUGUGGGUGGAGGUGUUCAAGGAGAUUGCAGUGUUUGUCUGAACUCGUGGCCAGUGCCUCGGCGAUAUUGGCGCCAGCCAGAUGAACCCGAGAAGUCUUAUUUGGAUGAAUAUGAACGUAGGGUCCUAGACAGCGGCUGCCAGUUCGAGUACAU
Setaria italica (foxtail millet) is the source of this 2813-nucleotide long non-coding RNA. RefSeq lists it as uncharacterized. The transcript has 6 exons. The record is from RefSeq and is a predicted model, not a curated record. Lineage: Eukaryota; Viridiplantae; Streptophyta; Magnoliopsida; Poales; Poaceae.